This 388-nucleotide long non-coding RNA is filed under the name Gallus gallus (chicken). The record is from RNAcentral. Lineage: Eukaryota; Metazoa; Chordata; Aves; Galliformes; Phasianidae.
CUCUUGGCUCUUGCUAGGAAUGUCAGGAAAGUCCGGCUGUUCUGGGACAUCAGCAUUUUCUUCUGAAGAGUAAUGAGUCUGCUGAAGUGAAGCCAGGUCAUUCUGUGUCUGCUGCAGGUGCUCCUGAGACUGAGAAUCCACGUGAUCCUGGUGGUACCUGUGUGUGUGGUGGCUCCUGGGGUCGUAUUUUUCUUCAGAGCUGGCAGAAAUGGCAUGCUGCCUGGAUUUGCUCACUGGCCAUGCAGCAGCAAUGCUGAUAAAGCACAAGCAAAGAAAUGCCAGCUUCAUUGUGAUGUUUUACCUUUCCUGUGCUGGAGAAGUCAGCUGCUCAAAGGGGCUCCGGCAAUCCCAGCAGCAACUCCUACUGCGGGCUGAGUGAGGCUCUGGC